This 489-nucleotide long non-coding RNA is filed under the name Pongo abelii (Sumatran orangutan). Its description in RNAcentral is "lincRNA". The record is from RNAcentral. Lineage: Eukaryota; Metazoa; Chordata; Mammalia; Primates; Hominidae.
CUCCAGGGGUGCAUGAUAGGUUGGGAGCUGUGGUGGUCCAGGCAGAAAUGGCUUCCCUGGGAAGGUGUUGCGGAAGAGGCGUCUCCGCAGACGCGCUUCGUGAGGAGAAGCUGAAGUGUUGCAAACAACACUGGCUGGGUUGUUUCCUGUCAGUUAUGGAGUGAUGAGGUCAUGCACUUCAUUCUGGCCAGUCAUUGAUAUGAUUUGGCAUUCUCUGCAUGCCAGGCAAGAGUGACUGCUCUUCAGGCCAGAUCUUCCUUCGAGAUGGGUGUUAUCUCCUUUUUAGGAAGGAGGAAACAGAGAGACCUCGUAACUUGGCGUGGCCACACAAUGGGAAUAAAGUGAGUGACCAAGAGGCUGAAUAUCUUCUCCAAAGCCAAAGAACCAGGAAGUGUCAGAGAUCCAAACCCAGGCGAUUUGGGUGCCAGGGCUCAAGCACUUCCCCAUGCAGCCACUGCCUCGAGAAAUAAAAAGACUCACCAGACACUU